UGAGGAAUCUUGCGCAAUGGGGGAAACCCUGACGCAGCAACGCCGCGUGAGUGAGGAAGGUCUUCGGGUCGUAAAGCUCUGUCAGGCGGGAAGAAAUGCAUGGAGGUGAACAGCCGCCAUGCUUGACGGUACCGCCAGAGGAAGCACCGGCUAACUCCGUGCCAGCAGCCGCGGUAAUGCGGGGGGUGCAAGCGUUGUUCGGAAUCAUUGGGCGUAAAGAGCGUGUAGGCGGCUUGGUAAGUCAGAUGUGAAAGCCCUGGGCUCAAACCGGGAAGUGCAUUUGAAACUGUCAGGCUCGAGUUGGGGAGAGGGAAGUGGAAUUCCUGGUGUAGAGGUGAAAUUCGUAGAUAUCAGGAGGAACACCGGUGGCGAAGGCGACUUCCUGGCCCUAUACUGACGCUGAGACGCGAGAGCGUGGGUAGCAAACAG
RNAcentral lists this ribosomal RNA (429 nucleotides) under uncultured bacterium. RNAcentral's name for it is "bacterial SSU rRNA". It matches the Rfam family "Bacterial small subunit ribosomal RNA", at positions 355 to 775 of the family's 1533-position model. The record is from RNAcentral.